Molecule: long non-coding RNA, 480 nt
Organism: Nothoprocta perdicaria
Lineage: Eukaryota; Metazoa; Chordata; Aves; Tinamiformes; Tinamidae
Exons: 3
Source: RefSeq, a predicted model, not a curated record
UGCCCAUCUUCCCCAGCCAUGUAAGGCCCGGAGUUACUGCGGAAGGAGCUGUGGGUUCCCUGUGUGGAUAGCUCUGCUCCUGCCAGGACCGAAUUCCUCCCUGUCCCUGCCCAGGGGGGUCGCCCCCGAGCUGGGCCAGGGCCCGAGGCCAUUGCUCAGGAUUAGUAGUGCAUUAAGAAAUUUCUGUCGGACAUACCAACCUCCUGACCUGCUGGUGAAACAUCCUCUGCUAUCAAGAAGCCUGGGAUGUGAUGAUAUAUCCUGCUGUAGACCUCAAAGCCGAGCUGCUUUCCAGCCAGGAUCACUCCUGGCUGCUGAUGCAGCCGCUUUGGGAGCAGCUACCUGGGACCUCCGCAGAGAGCAGCGAUGACACGGCUGGGCCUGCAGCAACCAAGGAGGCUGGCACUGUGGACUGCAGCAUUACUGAAUUGAAAAGCGUGAAUGCUACAGAAAUUUCUGCUGCAUGGAAAAAUGUUAUUU